AGAGUUUGAUCAUGGCUCAGAACGAACGCUGGCGGCGUGGAUAAGACAUGCAAGUCGAACGGGAUUAUUCGAGUAGUAAUAUGAGAAUAGUCUAGUGGCGAACGGGUGCGUAACACGUGGAUACAUUCCGGGAAGCGGGGGAUAGCCCAGGGAAACUUGGAUUAAUACCGCAUGUGGUCGAGAGACUAAAGACGGGGACCGCAAGGCCUGUCACUUCCUGAUUGGUCCGCGGCCUAUCAGCUUGUUGGUGAGGUAAUGGCUCACCAAGGCUACGACGGGUAGCUGGUCUAAGAGGACGACCAGCCACACUGGAACUGAGACACGGUCCAGACACCUACGGGUGGCAGCAGUCGAGAAUCUGUCACAAUGGGGGCAACCCUGAUGGAGCGACGCCGCGUGGAGGAUGAAGGUUUUCGGAUUGUAAACUCCUGUCAUGAGGGAACAAAGCCAGCAAUGGCCCGAUAGUACCUCAAGAGGAAGGGACGGCUAACUCUGUGCCAGCCGCCGCGGUAAUUC
This 516-nucleotide ribosomal RNA is filed under the name uncultured bacterium. RNAcentral's name for it is "bacterial SSU rRNA". It matches the Rfam family "Bacterial small subunit ribosomal RNA", at positions 8 to 526 of the family's 1533-position model. The record is from RNAcentral.